AUGCAGUCGAGCGGAAGAUGGGAGCUUGCUCCCUGAUGUUAGCGGCGGACGGGUGAGUAACACGUGGGUAACCUGCCUGUAAGACUGGGAUAACUCCGGGAAACCGGGGCUAAUACCGGAUGCUUGUUUGAACCGCAUGGUUCAAACAUAAAAGGUGGCUUCGGCUACCACUUACAGAUGGACCCGCGGCGCAUUAGCUAGUUGGUGAGGUAACGGCUCACCAAGGCAACGAUGCGUAGCCGACCUGAGAGGGUGAUCGGCCACACUGGGACUGAGACACGGCCCAGACUCCUACGGGAGGCAGCAGUAGGGAAUCUUCCGCAAUGGACGAAAGUCUGACGGAGCAACGCCGCGUGAGUGAUGAAGGUUUUCGGAUCGUAAAGCUCUGUUGUUAGGGAAGAACAAGUACCGUUCGAAUAGGGCGGUACCUUGACGGUACCUAACCAGAAAGCCACGGCUAACUACGUGCCAGCAGCCGCGGUAAUACGUAGGUGGCAAGCGUUGUCCGGAAUUAUUGGGCGUAAAGGGCUCGCAGGCGGUUUCUUAAGUCUGAUGUGAAAGCCCCCGGCUCAACCGGGGAGGGUCAUUGGAAACUGGGGAACUUGAGUGCAGAAGAGGAGAGUGGAAUUCCACGUGUAGCGGUGAAAUGCGUAGAGAUGUGGAGGAACACCAGUGGCGAAGGCGACUCUCUGGUCUGUAACUGACGCUGAGGAGCGAAAGCGUGGGGAGCGAACAGGAUUAGAUACCCUGGUAGUCCACGCCGUAAACGAUGAGUGCUAAGUGUUAGGGGGUUUCCGCCCCUUAGUGCUGCAGCUAACGCAUUAAGCACUCCGCCUGGGGAGUACGGUCGCAAGACUGAAACUCAAAAGGAAUUGACGGGGGGCCCGCACAAGCGGUGGAGCAUGUGGUUUAAUUCGAAGCAACGCGAGAACCUUACCAGGUCUUUGACAUCCUCUUGACAAUCCUAG
This 968-nucleotide ribosomal RNA is filed under the name Bacillus subtilis. RNAcentral's name for it is "bacterial SSU rRNA". It matches the Rfam family "Bacterial small subunit ribosomal RNA", at positions 55 to 1003 of the family's 1533-position model. Lineage: Bacteria; Bacillati; Bacillota; Bacilli; Caryophanales; Bacillaceae. The record is from RNAcentral.